GUGUGCAAAAUCACGCAUACAAAUUGAGCAAUGGCAACAUUGAUGACAUGCAAACAAACGAGCACAGCUGAAUUUUACGUUGCCACUACGGGCAUAACUUUUGACAAAUUUUGUUUAAUACGCAUGCUUUUUGCUGAAUAUAUCAAUUACGGAUAAAUCUGGCAUUCGCAAUGAAAUCGAAACUGUCAAAGCAACCACUUAAGUACACACACAAAUUCAAAUGGUAUGUACCAUAUAUCCUCCACCAAUUCCGGCAAUUUCGUUUAUUUCACAAGUAUGUUCAUUUGCCGAACGAAUAAAUAUUUAGGUGUCACUUACCCGAUAACUUCACAGUUUAAUUUGCCAACACGAAAGGAUUGAUUUAUUUCUACCUGUGAAGAGGUAAACCGCAACGCCUGAGUACUUGCAAGCACGAAAUUCGAUAUCAACAAAUAAAAUCGAACUGUGUCGCAACAGUAGCAAGGAGUACGCAUUUAAUUGAACAAAUGAAGAGUGAAAAUUACGGUCGAGUCGUUGCUUCCGCUACACCGCGUGCAAAAGUGUGUAAUUGAUAUUUCGGUGCAGGUAUUGCGUGCGGCGAGGUACAAAUGGUUGUAGUUACAUAUGAAGUAUAGCUUUGUUGAAACAACUAAGCAAACGAAAAUUUCCUGAAAGUGUUUUGGUUUUUUCUGUUUCUAGAGUAACUAAGGUUUUUGUGCGCAGUAGAGUUCCAUGUGAUUGAGGCACCCCGCUGCCUGCUUUUCUAAACUGUUGUACACUGUUUACAUGGGAAUUAAUGUGUUUAUGACAAUCAACUUACACAGCAGCAUAGCAGCAGAGUGUGUAUCAUGAAGUAUGCUCCAAAAUGGGUAAAACCUUUGAGAGUCUUAUCAGUAAUAAUAUACUAUGAGACUUAACGGCUCUCAAGUGAUUUGAAUUUGAAAAACGCGCCGAGAUUAGUACGUAAUUUAGAGUUUUUUUUUUUACAGAUAACCGAACAAUUUUAUUUGAAUAUACAAAAAGCCGAUACUUAUCUUACGCUUUAUUGGUAUGUAACUUCAGUUGGAAACAAGUUCUUCAGCCAUAAACAUAUCGAUGCGACCAAUAUCUUGAGUUUGGCGUUAAGGCGUGUGCCAGUAGAUGCAGGAUUAUGAAUACAAUUUUUUACGUUUGAGUCUACGAUUUCGAAACUACAGAAUGGUGUGCAUACUUUUGAAGCAUCGUAACCAAAAAUGAUAAGCAUACCCAAGACAAGAGUUUUGUUAGAUUUUCGUAAUAUGAGUAUUUUUAUCAUUGUUAAUCUGAAACUACUAAAAUAAAUUGAGUGUAAUGAACUUUGACCAGCCAAUGAACUAUUAAAAUGAGUAGCGUUUAUGUUGAAAAUGUGAAUAGUAGGUCUCAUCGACUUCCCCGCAAAAAGAUAAUAAUUUUAAUAAAUGUUUUAGAAAUCACUUA
Molecule: non-coding RNA, 1434 nt
Organism: Bactrocera oleae (olive fruit fly)
Lineage: Eukaryota; Metazoa; Arthropoda; Insecta; Diptera; Tephritidae
Source: RefSeq, a predicted model, not a curated record